RNAcentral lists this unclassified non-coding RNA (5804 nucleotides) under Leishmania donovani. RNAcentral's name for it is "gene:LdHU3.15.1630(CDS-product:ubiquitin_hydrolas e_putative)". Lineage: Eukaryota; Euglenozoa; Kinetoplastea; Trypanosomatida; Trypanosomatidae. The record is from RNAcentral.
GAUUACGCAUCUCACGAGUGACACACACACACACACGCUAAAGUUCACACGCAACGCUCAGCAGUCUCCACCACCACCACGCUCCAGACCGCCCCAGCCUUUCCCUCUCGCCUCCCUUGCAACCUCUGCUCAAUCACAGACGUUGUCGCUGCCGCGCGCCCCUCCCUACCCCUUUCUCCUCCUCGCCCAGUCACGUACGAGGCCACACAGGUUGGCGAACUCAUACACACACACACAGGGACCGUUACGCCCCCACAGCCUACGUCCGCCGACCCCCACCCCUUCGUCUCUUUUCUAAUACCCCAGACACCAGACACACACACGCAUACGUGCAUAUAUCUAGUGAGAGAGAUACAUGUUAUACCGGCCGGCUUAUUUUACUCGUCUACCUCUCGCCCUCUGUCUCUUCGUUUAUAUAUAUAUAUAUAUAUUUCUGGGCGAACGCACGCGCAUACGCACACAGCUGACGCUUCUCCGCACCUCGCUCCCUCGCUGCUGUGCGUGCCUGUGUGAUCGGCCCCGCCUGUGAGAGCUCAUUGUACGCGUUCUCCUGCUUUUAUUCCUGUUGUCUCGCCACGCCCGCCUGGCGUGGCUCCGUCCGUGGGUGUUCGUGUAUUUGGCCUCGACACUUCCUCCCUCUCCGCCAUACCGAGUUAAACCCCUCUUGCCUCCCUUCGUCAUUGAUUAGUCACCGCGAUGGAGUCCACCAAUGUGGGUGAUGCGUACGCGGAAGACCGGUCUUCGAACGGCGCGGAGGGGAAUAGGACGAUGGACACCUGCCGAGGGUCGUCGCUGUGCUCGCAGCUCAGCAGCGACGAUCACGGCGAGGACGUCCACGCGCAGCGCAGCGACCGCCUGGCUGUUACUUCCAGCAGUAGUAGCGGCACCACCUUUGCGGAUGACGAGGGCGACGCUCAUGUGAGUCGUCGUGCACUCCGCAGCCGCGUCGGCAAGGCUGGGAGCGCUGCCGAUGACGCCGCUGGUCCAUCCCCUGUGGACGCGGACGACGACGAAGAGGCCGAAACGGUGCCAACAGCAGUGGGGCUCAUCAACGAGGGCUGUACCUGCUACCUGAACUCACUGCUGCAGCUGCUCUUCCACAUCAGCUACUUCCGCACCGCCGUCUACCGCAUCCCUGUCGAAGGCGACGACGGGCCGUCAGUGUACAAGGCCCUGCAGGAGACCUUCUUCCAGAUGCAGGAGCGCACCACGCCGGCGCGCACCACUGUGCUGACCAACGCCUUUGGCUGGGGCCGCAAGGAACUGUACGUGCAGCACGACAUCCAGGAGAUGGCGACUCUGCUGCGCGACAACUUGGAGGAGCGGAUGAAAGGCACCGUGACGGAGGGCGCCAUCAACCAACUGUUCGAGGGGCGUGGCGAGCAGUUCGUGGAGACGCUAGACAAGUCGUACGUCUCGCGCCGCGCCGACACCUACUAUGACGUGCACAUCCCUCUUGGCCAGCACAGCACACUGCUAGGCAGUCUGACCUCACUCACCGCGCGCGAUAAGCUCGUCGGCGAGAACAAGUACCGUGUGGAGCGGGAGGGGAUGCCGGUGGUGUACAUGGAUGCCGAGAAGGGCUACAGCUACACUCGCUUCCCUGCCGUGACCUGGUUCCAUCUGAAGCGCUUCGCCAUGGACUUGACUUCUCCGACAUUGGAGAUGCGGAAGGUGAAUACGCCGCUGGAGUUCCCUGUCGUCCUCGACCUUCGUUCCCUGGAGAAGCCGGACGCCGCAGCAGCUAGCGGUGGCGUAGGUGCUGGAAGCAAGUUGGGCUCCGCGGUUGUUCCUUUCAGCAGCGACUCGCCCGCCAUCUACGACCUGCAAGGGGUGAUCGUGCACCGCGGCACGGCCCGCAGUGGCCACUACUACUGCUACAUCCGGGAGUGGGACCCGGUGGGGCAGCGCUUCUGUCGUUGGCUCGAGUACGACGACGAGAACGUGCGUCAGGUGCCGGAGGACGUGGCGGUGCGCGCCAACUACGGCCGCGGCGCCGGCUCGGUCGACAGCUUCCGCCACGACGCGUCGCUCAUGGGAGGGGCGAACGCGUACAUCCUCUCCUACGUGCGCCGCGCCGACGCGGCGGCGAUUCUCGCGCCGUCGCCGACCGACAUCGUAUCCGACCGUGUCAAGGAGGCGAUGCGGCGUGCCAUCCAGGAAGAAGAGCGACAGCUGCGCGAGGCCGAGGAGGCCCGGUUGUCCGUCACGAUGUACUGCAUCACUGAUGCUGCCCUCAGCAAGUACUGUGACUCCGUGUGCAGCACCGAACUCUUCUCCCGCGAUAUUCAGCAGUGGCGCCGGUUCGCCGACUGCGUCAUAACAGCUCGCAAGUCAGAUACGCUAGCGGCGGUGUACGAGGCGCUGGCCGCGCAGCCGGAGAUGGCACGGCAGGGCGUGACGGCUUUCAACUGUCGCCUGUGGCGGUGCAGCGAUGGAUCGGCGCUGCGGCCGUCCAUCGCUCUUCCGACAUACGCAGAAAACAUGGAGCACAAGGGCGUCGCUCCUCAGCAGCCGCAGGAGUGCCUGAAGGAUUUCCUCACCCCGGAGGAGAACACCACCGCGCUGACGAUGUGCCUCUACGUCGACCAGGCGAAGGUGCCCUUGCCAGGGCUGCACGGCGUGACGAAGGAGUGCGGCCUGAUCCGCAGCAUCCAGCAGGACGACACCGGCCGCUGCUACACGGUGGAGAUGUCGAGCCCGACAGAGGCGAAGGCACUGCACAUCACCCUCGACCACUCCGACUACGCCGCCACAGUCGAGUACGUCGUCACGACCGACAAGGAAACGCUUCCUGUUGCGAUGGCUGCCGUCACUGACGGCUGCAACACUGUUGCCCUGUUGCUGAGCGAGUCGCGGCGGACGAUGUCGGUGAUGCUGACAUGCUACAUGCCAAACAAGCGGGCGGUGACCGUGCGCAACGUGCACCUCGAGCUCCCGUUCGGGCACCCCCUCCUGCAGCCGGCCCCUGCGGCAUCGACCGUCGCGCUACCGGUGCUGCCCGUCGUUGGCUAUGACCGCGCCCUCAUCUUCUUCAAGUACUACGACUACUCCGCCAACACUAUCCAGUACGUUGGCAGUCGGCUCAUCGACAAGGCAGCCAAGACGUACUGUUGCGGCGCCGUGUACCGCGACUUUCUCGGCCUAUCGGACGACGCGGCGCCAUCCUCAUCCGACGCCCCAGUAGCAAGGCCGCAGCCGCCACCGCCGUCGAUGUUCCGCUUCUUCCUCGAGCGUGGCGAUCACACGCCGGUCGAGCUCAACGAGCACCUCGACUUGGGUGACUUCAAGUCCGGCUGCGUAGUGGUGGCGCAGCUGCGAGCGAUCCCCGCCUCUUAUCGCUACCUAUCUAUUCUCAACUACUACCGCGACACGCGCAACAGCCUCGACGUACACAUCAUCGAGGUGGAGCGCAGCCACCGAGCAAACGACGACGCGUACCGGCAGACAACACUGGAGCGGCAGCGCUGCGCCGUGGCGGCGGCGGCGGCGGCGUCGUCGUCCUCUGCAGCGAAGAAGGAGCGAACGUCGACAGGCGGUGCCGCUGAUGUCGCGCCGACAACCUCGCCUCUGCACUCGGCGGUGCCUGGCGGGGAGUCCGAGGGGGCCGCCGACGCCUCCACCACUGGCGUGCCGCAGCAGGGAGACUCGACAGCGCUGAUCAACAGCUCCGAGUCCGUGGCGUCGGAUGCGAAGAAGAAGACACCGAGCACCGGCAGCACUGGCGACGGCAUCGUCACAGCAAGCACGUCCACGACGUGUGGCGUCACGAGCAGUGUGAGUCCAACGCCGACGCUGGCCAUGGAUACCACUGGCAGCAGCGCCACCGCUGUGGCGAACGCAGCGGUGGAGGCCGACCCGAUUCGCAUCGCCGCCACGCUGAACCCGUACGAGGCGGUGCAGCUCUCCACGCUACACGAGAUUUCCGUGGCGACGCUGCCUACGGAGCACUCGUGUCGCAUGCUCUUUAGCUGGAAUUACGAGGCCGUGUGCGCCGCCAUCGGUCGCACCAUCGCCUUCGACCCGAAUCGUCUGCAGUUGUACCAGUGCUGCAGCACUGGUGAGCCGGCGCCAGAGGUGUCGCCGACGCCGUACAGCAGCCGACUUACCGUGGCCGACCUGCUCUACCUGGACUCGUACAAUAAGACCUCAGUGUUGUACUACGAGCGACUGGCUGAAGCCCGCGAGCAGCACCAGAACGUUGGCGUCGUCACCGCCACGCUGCGGGACCACGCGGGCCACGCACUGCACCGCGAAACCUACAGCGUCGACCUCGCCAGCAUCACCCGCCAGGGCCUCGUGCGGCGCAUUUGCGAGUCUGUGCCGGCGUGGCAGCGCGAGGCGGACGUGUGGGGCACCAUGCAGGACACCCUUCAGUCACCGCACUUCACGCUGAGCUUCGUGGACUCAGCCAGGCACGUCAUCGCGGCGAUGCACGAGGUGGCCAUGUCCAAGACCGGCGCCGAGGAGUCCGCGCUGGAGGCGUCGGCGCUGCGCAAGUUCGAGGUGGAUAUUCAAGCGGCGGCGCCGCUCCAGGGCACGGAGCAGCGGAUCGCGUGCUGCCACAUGAACUACUCGACGCACGACCGCAGCACGUUACUGGGACUGCAGCAGCAGCGCAGCGCUUUCGGGCAGCCGUUCCUCAUCACAAUCGACCGCACCACGACGGUGCGCGAGGCACUCGACAUAAUGCUGCAGACGACCUAUCUACCCAAGGAUGCGCUGAACAACGCCGAGGGCUUUGGGGUGAUGAUGGUGGCGGGGCAAGUAUACCACUUCGAGAACUGGGAGGAGCACGUGCACCUGUUCUGGGUGCACACCAAGAACACGUCCCAGUACGUCGCCAGCCUAAUGCUGAACCAUGCCAAGCCGCGCGAGAAGCCAGGUUCUCGCUACGUUGCCCAGCACAGCCCGCAGCUGAAGAUCUCUAAUAAGUAGUGCCCCAACCCCUCCUCCCACUCCCACCUCCCCCCACCGCACCCUGUCCAUCGGCGUAGGCGAGGGGUGGUGUGUUCCUGUGCUCCCCUCCGCCGUGUCUUGGGUGCGUAUGCGUCCUCUUGCAUCCCUCACCUUUGCUUCACCUGUGCUGUCCUUUUACUGCCACUCUCCCACGUCGUUAUCGCUGCUGCUGUGCUGCGUUGCGAGAAGGCGCACACGCACCACACACACGUGUGCGUUUGUGUGUCUGUGUGGCUUCGCUCUCUCCCCCUUCUGUGCUACCCCUCCUCCUCUUCUCCUGCCUUAGAUGUGGUGUUGUUCGCGUUGGCCAUCAGCAGUGUCGCCUGCUUCAGUGAAAAAGCAACCCUGUUUUUCGUGUGGAGGAAAGGGGUGAGGACGAGGGGACGCUCAACGGGCUAUUCAUUUCUGUUCGGGUGUGUAUGUGUGUGUGUGUGUGUGUGUCGUCGUCGUCGUCGAUGUUGCCGUCGGUGUAUGCGUUUCCUCCACUCCUCCGGUAGGCACACAGGCAGACGCGCAUGGUUAGGCGGCGAAGCUGAUGUCCGUUGCACCGAUCGACUUCACGUUGCUGCUCCUCUCCUCCUCUCUGGACUGGCUGCCAAUGAUGAGCGGGCGCUCUAGCUCUCCUGAACCCUCGUCGUGUUCGCGUUGAUGUUCUCAUUCUCGUGCGUUUCACGCACGGCUCCUGUGUUUGAAUGCACCUUUCCUCUUUCUGCCUCCCUCUGCCCACGCGACUUGCAUCGGUAGCCCUUCCCUCCUUCACCACCACCGCUGCCCCUCGCACACGCCCAGCAUCGUCCCCGCAGAUGCGCAGCGCCGCUGUUAGGAUCGUGAAGGAAAACAAAAAG